RNAcentral lists this long non-coding RNA (598 nucleotides) under Carica papaya (papaya). RNAcentral's name for it is "long non-coding RNA (CPAP_LNC004406)". Lineage: Eukaryota; Viridiplantae; Streptophyta; Magnoliopsida; Brassicales; Caricaceae. The record is from RNAcentral.
GGCGUUUUGCAAAAUUCUCUGUAGUGGCACAGUCGGGCUUUGCCCACAUUUUUCGGCCAAUUAGCCGGUCCUUUUACUCCGAUUUAACCAUGAGUGUGUUUAAAAUUAAAUUCUGAGCAAGGGAGAAAAUUUUCACCUCUUUUGGCGGUUAGAAAGGCCUUUGGCACGGCGGGGGGUGACAGUGAUCUCCUUCCCGGCGGCUUGGUCUUCUUCUCCAGCGAGGGGGUUUGACGGCUAAGGUUAGGGUUUGGUGUGGAGGUUAUUUCUAUCUAUCCACUUUUGAUUUGGACCGUCCAUCGCGUUUGAUAUGGAUCGUCCUAUCGCGAUUAAAUAAGGAGUGAAUUUGGACUGUUUAAUGUGAUCUAAUCUAGGUCGUUCAUCGCGAUCUAAUCUGGACCGUCCGAUCACGUUUAAAUCUGACCGUUCGAUCGCGUUUAGGGAGGGAACGCAUCUGGACCGUUCGUUCGCACGAGAAUGGAUCUGAGUCGUUCGAUCGCGGGCACGCGGAUCGCCCGCAUGGCCUCCCGCGUUGCACCGUGUCAGUGUCCACUGUCACGCGGUGCGUCCUGAUUCGUCAGGAUUGCUAACCAGAUAUUCU